UUACUGGUAGGUUAUUUAAACUGGCAAAUUGUGGUUUUGUUGAUUACUUUUUUGUUUUUUGUAUCAGUAAA
Molecule: transfer RNA, 71 nt
Filed under: Anindobothrium lisae
Lineage: Eukaryota; Metazoa; Platyhelminthes; Cestoda; Phyllobothriidea; Phyllobothriidae
Description: tRNA-His
Source: RNAcentral